Molecule: ribosomal RNA, 479 nt
Filed under: Priestia megaterium
Lineage: Bacteria; Bacillati; Bacillota; Bacilli; Caryophanales; Bacillaceae
Description: bacterial SSU rRNA
Rfam family: Bacterial small subunit ribosomal RNA
Source: RNAcentral
UGGUUCAGGAUGAACGCUGGCGGCGUGCCUAAUACAUGCAAGUCGAGCGAACUGAUUAGAAGCUUGCUUCUAUGACGUUAGCGGCGGACGGGUGAGUAACACGUGGGCAACCUGCCUGUAAGACUGGGAUAACUUCGGGAAACCGAAGCUAAUACCGGAUAGGAUCUUCUCCUUCAUGGGAGAUGAUUGAAAGAUGGUUUCGGCUAUCACUUACAGAUGGGCCCGCGGUGCAUUAGCUAGUUGGUGAGGUAACGGCUCACCAAGGCAACGAUGCAUAGCCGACCUGAGAGGGUGAUCGGCCACACUGGGACUGAGACACGGCCCAGACUCCUACGGGAGGCAGCAGUAGGGAAUCUUCCGCAAUGGACGAAAGUCUGACGGAGCAACGCCGCGUGAGUGAUGAAGGCUUUCGGGUCGUAAAACUCUGUUGUUAGGGAAGAACAAGUACGAGAGUAACUGCUCGUACCUUGACGGUACCU